GUUGUUGUGGCCGAGUGAUUAAGGCGAUGGACUAGAAAUCCACUGGGGUCUACCUGUGCAGGUUUGAAGCCUGCUGACAACG
Molecule: non-coding RNA, 82 nt
Organism: Pangasius djambal
Lineage: Eukaryota; Metazoa; Chordata; Actinopteri; Siluriformes; Pangasiidae
Source: the annotation of a GenBank genome assembly